AACGAACGCUAGCGGUGUGGAUUAGGCAUGCAAGUCGCGCGCGAAAGCCUUCGGGCGAGUAAAGCGGCGAAAGGGUGAGUAACACGUAACCAACGUACCCCCUCAGACUGGGAUAACCACUGGAAACGGUGGAUAAUACCGGAUGGUCCACUGGGCAGCAUUGCCUGGCUGGUAAACGGCGGCCGCAAGGCGGUUGCUGAGGGAGCGGGUUGCGGCCUAUCAGCUUGUUGGUGAGGUAACGGCUCACCAAGGCUAUGACGGGUAACAGGUCUGAGAGGAUGAUCUGCCACACUGGGACUGAGACACUGCCCAGACUCCUACGGGAGGCUGCAGUCGAGAAUCUUCCACAAUGGGCGAAAGCCUGAUGGAGCGACACCGCGUGCAGGAUGAAGGCC
Molecule: ribosomal RNA, 395 nt
Filed under: uncultured bacterium
Lineage: Bacteria
Description: bacterial SSU rRNA
Rfam family: Bacterial small subunit ribosomal RNA
Source: RNAcentral